RNAcentral lists this ribosomal RNA (513 nucleotides) under Pluralibacter gergoviae. RNAcentral's name for it is "partial 23S ribosomal RNA". It matches the Rfam family "Bacterial large subunit ribosomal RNA", at positions 678 to 1189 of the family's 2925-position model. Lineage: Bacteria; Pseudomonadati; Pseudomonadota; Gammaproteobacteria; Enterobacterales; Enterobacteriaceae. The record is from RNAcentral.
CGAGUCUUAACUGGGCGUUAAGUUGCAGGGUAUAGACCCGAAACCCGGUGAUCUAGCCAUGGGCAGGUUGAAGGUUGGGUAACACUAACUGGAGGACCGAACCGACUAAUGUUGAAAAAUUAGCGGAUGACCUGUGGCUGGGGGUGAAAGGCCAAUCAAACCGGGAGAUAGCUGGUUCUCCCCGAAAGCUAUUUAGGUAGCGCCUCGUGAACUCAUCUUCGGGGGUAGAGCACUGUUUCGGCUAGGGGGUCAUCCCGACUUACCAACCCGAUGCAAACUGCGAAUACCGAAGAAUGUUAUCACGGGAGACACACGGCGGGUGCUAACGUCCGUCGUGAAGAGGGAAACAACCCAGACCGCCAGCUAAGGUCCCAAAGUCAUGGUUAAGUGGGAAACGAUGUGGGAAGGCCCAGACAGCCAGGAUGUUGGCUUAGAAGCAGCCAUCAUUUAAAGAAAGCGUAAUAGCUCACUGGUCGAGUCGGCCUGCGCGGAAGAUGUAACGGGGCUAAACCA